CCUGAAGCUGGUUAGCCUUAUUGCACCAGACAGACCAAAGACACAGUGGAAGCAUGCUGGUGAAAGGAAUAACUGCGAUACAUCAAGUCAUCUUUAAGCCUUCCUCAUGAGACUAUUCUGAAGAAAAACUGUCGGCAAAAAUAAUGGCUCUCAUCACUCUUCUCCCACCAACCUUCUGAACAUCAGAGUCCCCAGAAAGGAAGGAGUACGAUAGGGGGAGUGCUGACGGGGGUAUUGCCAAACUUGGUUUUAACACUGAAAUCCUGCAACUUGGAGAGAAAGAAGUUCUGUGGAAAUGCAAUAGCAGAUAGUCAUAGUGAUGGAGUUGAUAUUCUGCUGUUUUGUCUUACAUCAAACUUUUCAUACUGAUUAUAGUUGCAUCCUCUUCGUUUUCGAUUUCCUUUUCAUAAUAAAUGCAUGUUUAUGUUUGCAUUUGGGAUGAGAUGUUUUCUUAUGAACGCAUUCAGUAAAUACUUUCCAGAGCAGUAGUUUGAACUGUUAAUCCAAUUAACGCUUACUUGUCAAAACAUUUGGCUAAUUAACUCUGUAUUCCUGCAUUAAUGAGACCAUAUAUAGCCAAUGU
Molecule: long non-coding RNA, 583 nt
Organism: Gadus chalcogrammus (walleye pollock)
Lineage: Eukaryota; Metazoa; Chordata; Actinopteri; Gadiformes; Gadidae
Exons: 3
Source: RefSeq, a predicted model, not a curated record